GUGCAUGCUUCGACAUCACAGGCACUAAAAUUGGAACAAUAUGGAGAUUAGCAUGGCCCCUGUGCAAGGAUGACAUGCAAAUUCAUGAAGCAUUCCAUACUUAA
Molecule: small nuclear RNA, 104 nt
Filed under: Castor canadensis (American beaver)
Lineage: Eukaryota; Metazoa; Chordata; Mammalia; Rodentia; Castoridae
Source: RNAcentral